Molecule: ribosomal RNA, 468 nt
Filed under: uncultured bacterium
Lineage: Bacteria
Description: partial 16S ribosomal RNA
Rfam family: Bacterial small subunit ribosomal RNA
Source: RNAcentral
GACGAACGCUGGCGGCGUGCUUAACACAUGCAAGUCGAACGGAAAGGCCCUGCUUUUGUGGGGUGCUCGAGUGGCGAACGGGUGAGUAACACGUGAGUAACCUGCCCUUGACUUUGGGAUAACUUCAGGAAACUGGGGCUAAUACCGGAUAGGAGCUCCUGCUGCAUGGUGGGGGUUGGAAAGUUUCGGCGGUUUGGGAUGGACUCGCGGCUUAUCAGCUUGUUGGUGGGGUAGUGGCUUACCAAGGCUUUGACGGGUAGCCGGCCUGAGAGGGUGACCGGCCACAUUGGGACUGAGAUACGGCCCAGACUCCUACGGGAGGCAGCAGUGGGGAAUAUUACACAAUGGGCGGAAGCCUGAUGCAGCAACGCCGCGUGCGGGAUGACGGCCUUCGGGUUGUAAACCGCUUUCGCCUGUGACGAAGCGUGAGUGACGGUAAUGGGUAAAGAAGCACCGGCUAACUACGUG